GGCGAACGGGUGAGUAACGCGUAAAUAACCUACCCUCAAGUAGAGGAUAACUCUGAGAAAUCGGAGCUAAUACUUUAUGUGGUAAUAGGGGCAAUGCUCUAUUAUUAAAGUCUUAGGAUGCUUGGGGAGGGGCUUGCGUCCGAUUAGCUAGUUGGUAGGGUAAUGGUCUACCAAGGCGAUGAUCGGUAGCUGGUUUGAGAGAAUGGUCAGCCACAUUGGGACUGAGACACGGCCCAGACUCCUACGGGAGGCAGCAGCAAGGAAUAUUGUGCAAUGGGCGAAAGCCUGACACAGCGACGCCGCGUGGAGGAUGAAGGCCCUUGGGUUGUAAACUCCUUUUCUUAGGGAAGAAUAAUGACGGUACCUAAGGAAUAAGCCACGGCUAACUACGUGCCAGCAGCCGCGGUAAUACGUAGGUGGCAAGCGUUAUCCGGAUUUACUGGGCGUAAAGAGGGCGUAGGCGGCUUUCCAAGUCGGAUGUAAAAUCUCCUGGCUUAACUGGGAGGGACCAUUCGAUACUGUUAGGCUAGAGAGCAGCAGAGGGAGGUGGAAUUCCCGGUGUAGUGGUGAAAUCCGUAGAUAUCGGGAGGAA
This 592-nucleotide ribosomal RNA is filed under the name uncultured bacterium. RNAcentral's name for it is "bacterial SSU rRNA". It matches the Rfam family "Bacterial small subunit ribosomal RNA", at positions 97 to 706 of the family's 1533-position model. The record is from RNAcentral.